UCCAGGUUGAUCCUGCCAGAUCCGACUGCUAUCCGGGUAAGACUAAGCCAUGCAAGUCGAAUGGAAUCGCUGAUUCCAUGGCGAACUGCUCAGUAACAAGUGAUCAACUUACCCUUCAGUGGGGGAUAACCUCGGGAAACUGAGGCUAAUCCGCCAUAGUUGGCACACCCUGGAACGGGGUGCCCUCGAAAGAUAUUUCGAAAUGCCGAAUGUUCGCUGAAGGAUAGGAUCGCUUUCGAUUACGGUUGUUGGUGGGGUAAUGGCUCACCAAGCCUCUGAUCGAUAAGGGCCGUGAGAGCGGUAGCCCUGAGAUGGAUACUGAGACAAUGAUCCAGGCCUUACGAGGCGCAGCAGGCGCGAAACCUUUACAAUGCACGACAGUGUGAUAAGGUUACCCGGAGUGCUAAGAGAAAACUUUUAGCUGUUAUAGGUGUGUAAAUAACCCUAUGAGAAAGGAGAGGGCAAGGCUGGUGCCAGCCGCCGCGGUAAAACCAGCUCUUCAAGUGGUCGGGAAUAUUAUUGGGCUUAAAGCGUCCGUAGCCGGUUAGAACAGUUCCUGGUAAAAUCUGGCAGCUUAACUGUCAGGUCGCUAGGAAUACUAUCUUACUAGAGGGUGGGAAAGGUUUGGGGUACUCCAGGGGUAGCGGUGAAAUGCGAUAAUCCGUGGGGGACCACCAGUGGCGAAGGCGCCAGACUGGAA
Molecule: ribosomal RNA, 700 nt
Filed under: uncultured archaeon
Lineage: Archaea
Description: bacterial SSU rRNA
Rfam family: Archaeal small subunit ribosomal RNA
Source: RNAcentral